This 74-nucleotide transfer RNA is filed under the name Planctomycetota bacterium. Its description in RNAcentral is "Planctomycetes bacterium tRNA-Arg". It matches the Rfam family "tRNA". Rfam says of the family: Transfer RNA (tRNA) molecules are approximately 80 nucleotides in length. Their secondary structure includes four short double-helical elements and three loops (D, anti-codon, and T loops). The record is from RNAcentral. Lineage: Bacteria; Pseudomonadati; Planctomycetota.
GCGCCAGUAGCUCAACCGGAUAGAGCAGCGGACUUCUAAUCCGCAGGUUGAAGGUUCGAGUCCUUCCUGGCGUG